AGAAAACACAAAAUAAGACUACUAAGAAAUUAGGAUGUUGUAGUUAAUUGUGAAAGAGGACAAAGUUUGAGAGUUGAACUGAUAAUGAACUUUAAUUGCAUAAUUAGUUGUACUUUAUACUUACAAAUGUAAUAUAGUAUAAUACUGUACUAUGUAAUACAAUUUAUAGGAUGGCCUAUCACUUCAGAUUUAAUUUUUUUUUUUUUUGGUACCGGGGAUCGAACUCAGAUCCUUGCGCUUGCACAGGAGGCAGCGAAACCACUGAGCUAAAUCCCCGGCCCCCAGAUUUAAGUUUUAAUUUCAUCCUGAGCCCACAUGCAACCAAGUUUCUCUGAAAGGCAAUACUACUCUGCUUGCUGGAUACUGUGAGAGAUCUGUCUGGAAGUUGUCACUUCUUCCCUUUAUCAGCCUUUGCCUUGCCACCCUCACCCCAAAAUGAUUCUGAGACUAAAAACUGAAGUCUGCAGAAUACAUAAAUAAGCAAGCAAAAUAGAACCCAUUGGAAAAAGCACAUCUGUCCACCAUCAUCACACAAAAAGGUUCAUUGUGUGGUCUUGUGAAAGGUUACACAGCAUACGAAGGAC
Long non-coding RNA from Heterocephalus glaber (naked mole-rat), 584 nucleotides. The record is from Ensembl. NCBI's taxonomy places the organism in Eukaryota, Metazoa, Chordata, Mammalia, Rodentia, Bathyergidae.